CGAUCAGUCCAAAAGGCGUCAUGUUGGAUGUUUGUGGUCCUCGCGUGUGACGGAGGAGAAACAACUCAACGCUGGUCCUCAAGAACCGCCCAAUCAGCCUCAUCAUCAGCUGAUUGACUCCAGGAAUAUUCGGUGACAGCCGUGGCCCAGACCUGCAUCCAAUGUUUUUGGAUCUAGAAGAUGAGGCGCUGAAGGGUUUCACUUACAGAAGAAGGAAGAGGAGGAGGAAGAAGAAGAGGAGGAAGAGAUGGUUUUUGCAAAUGCAGAAAACAAGUCAAGACAUCACCCAAAACGGACAAAGUCAGAAGCAAGGCUCGUCAUUUUGAAGCGUACUUGUCUG
This is a long non-coding RNA of Pungitius pungitius (ninespine stickleback), 340 nucleotides long. RefSeq lists it as uncharacterized. Lineage: Eukaryota; Metazoa; Chordata; Actinopteri; Perciformes; Gasterosteidae. The record is from RefSeq and is a predicted model, not a curated record. The transcript is spliced from 3 exons.